Molecule: long non-coding RNA, 515 nt
Organism: Cloeon dipterum
Lineage: Eukaryota; Metazoa; Arthropoda; Insecta; Ephemeroptera; Baetidae
Exons: 2
Source: RefSeq, a predicted model, not a curated record
ACGUAUACGCACGCGGCUCAAACAUCCAACUUGUUAAAUUAUUCCGCGCAGCACUCGCGGGCUCUCUGCGUGGACAGAAACGAAAGAGAGAAAGAGAAGUAGAAAAAUAAAAUAUGUACACGGUCUGUGUGUGCUCAACGAAACAGCAUGUGCAGCACAGAGUUCCCCUCGCGCGUUCUAGCCAUUGAUAACAUGCCCUUAGCAUGACAUUGAGUUAGCAGCCAGCAUUUUUAUACACACGCGAGUGAGUGAGUGUGCCGACGGUGUGUACCCGGCCGUUCUCCGCGGCUCCGCGCUCCAUGGUGGCUCAUGUGAGCAACAAGUAUUAGCGAAGCUGCAGCAGAGAGGGCACCUUGCGAUUAUCCGCUAAGUGGACGUGGUCUGCGUUUCAUUAUUUCCCGGAGCACCGCCAGCGAGAGAGGGAGGAUUAUAAAAAUAUUCUCGUGCGACUCCAGCUCUGUCAAGUGAUAUAAUGAAUAAAUAAACAAUUCAGAAAUUUUCUUGAUAAAAUAAAA